UACGGAGGAUCCAAGCGUUAUCCGGAAUCAUUGGGCGUAAAGAGCGUGUAGGCGGCCCGGUAAGUCCGCUGUGAAAGUCGGGGGCUCAACCCUCGAAUGCCGGUGGAUACUGUCGGGCUAGAGUGCGGAAGAGGCGAGUGGAAUUCCUGGUGUAGCGGUGAAAUGCGCAGAUAUCAGGAGGAACACCGAUUGCGAAGGCAGCUCGCUGGGACGUAACUGACGCUGAGACGCGAAAGCGUGGGGAGCAAACAGG
Molecule: ribosomal RNA, 253 nt
Filed under: uncultured bacterium
Lineage: Bacteria
Description: partial 16S ribosomal RNA
Rfam family: Bacterial small subunit ribosomal RNA
Source: RNAcentral